CCUACGGGAGGCAGCAGUGGGGAAUAUUGGGCAAUGGGCGCAAGCCUGACCCAGCAACGCCGCGUGAAGGAAGAAGGCUUUCGGGUUGUAAACUUCUUUUCUCAGGGACGAAGAAAGUGACGGUACCUGAGGAAUAAGCCACGGCUAACUACGUGCCAGCAGCCGCGGUAAUACGUAGGUGGCAAGCGUUAUCCGGAUUUAUUGGGUGUAAAGGGCGUGUAGGCGGGAGAGCAAGUCAGAUGUGAAAACUCAGGGCUCAACCCUGGGACUGCAUUUGAAACUGUGUUUCUUGAGUGCUGGAGAGGCAAGCGGAAUUCCGGGUGUAGCGGUGAAAUGCGUAGAUAUUAGGAGGAACACUAGUGGCGAAGGCGAGUUCCUGGACAUUAACUGACGCUGAGGCACGAAGGCCAGGGGAGCGAAAGGGAUUAGAUACCCUAGUAGUC
Molecule: ribosomal RNA, 443 nt
Filed under: uncultured bacterium
Lineage: Bacteria
Description: partial 16S ribosomal RNA
Rfam family: Bacterial small subunit ribosomal RNA
Source: RNAcentral